AUUUUAGUUAUGUUCUUGAAACUUAAAAAAUUUGGCGGUAUUUUAGUCUAUCCAGAGGAACCUGUUUUGUAAUCGAUAAUCCACGAUGGACCUUACUUAAAUUUGUAAUCAGUUUAUAUACCGUCGUUAUCAGAAUAUU
Molecule: long non-coding RNA, 139 nt
Organism: Drosophila miranda
Lineage: Eukaryota; Metazoa; Arthropoda; Insecta; Diptera; Drosophilidae
Exons: 3
Source: RefSeq, a predicted model, not a curated record